UAAAAUGCUGCUCAUGUUGAGAUCUGAUUUCGUGAAAUAACACUCAUACAAAUAAUUUAAAGAUUUAGAUAAGAAGAAUUGAAUGAAUCUGCGCAGCGCCCAGGGCGAAGCACGUGAACAAGCAAAAAAAACUGCUGCUGGCCACCACUACCGCACGAGUCACGACACCGGGUUGUAAUGAUGGCUUUCUAACUACUAGCCACUACUACUAAUCCGAUGUUAGCUAGCCUAUUAUCUUUAUUUCUUGGUUCGUUAAAGUUGUUAUGCAAGCAAUGUCAUACAUCGUGCGUUUAGCUUACUAAAUUGAGCAGCUCUAGCUAGCUAGCUGUCGCAUACCAAUCUGACAGCACAGCUUAUUGGCUGGCGCAGCUCAAGUUAUUUUUACAUUUGGCUUAAUAAUUGCAAGUGUUUUAGAAGAGUAUCACUUGCGGAUAACCACAUUGCUAGCUCUAAAUUAUGUAUCCAAUUUACCAUGAUUAGAAAAGUAGUUAUAAUGAACACUCACCGAAUGUUUUUGCUCCUCUGUCACUGUGAAGCUAACCAGGAAGAAAACAAAAUAGCACUUUGAUUGACAAGCCAACCCACGAAUGCAAGCAAUGAGUAACGGAUGGAAGCAACCAAUGAAACGUCUCUGGAACAAACAGAGGGUGAAUGAUAGCUAUGCCCCUGAUGUGUCGGGAACGGAUGUCCGUGCACGCCCCUAUCCACGUCGAGGGGGCUGUGGUGGAGUGGGUCGAGAGCAUGGUCCAAACACACCAACACGGUCGUGAAGAAGGCACGACAAUGCCCCUCAAGAGGCUGAAAAGAUUUGGCAUGGGCCCUCAGAUCCUCAAAAAGUUAUACAGCUGCACCAUUGAAAGCAUCUUGACUGACUGCAUGGUCCAAACACACCAACACGGUCGUGAAGAAGGCACGACAAUGCCCCUCAAGAGGCUGAAAAGAUUUGGCAUGGGCCCUCAGAUCCUCAAAAAGUUAUACAGCUGCACCAUUGAAAGCAUCUUGACUGGCUGCGUCACCACUUCGUAUGGAAACUGCUUGGCAUCCGACUGCAAGGUGCUACAGAGGGUAGUGCGUACAGCCCAAUAAAUCACUGGGGACGAGCUCCCUGCCAUCCAGGACCUCUAUACCAGGUGGUGUCAGAGGAAGGCCCUAAAACUUGUCAGACUCCUGCCACCCAAGUCAUAGACUGUUUUCCCUGCUACCACAUGGGAAUCAGUACUGAUGCACCAAGUCUGGAACCAACAGGACCCUGUACAGCUUCUAUCCCCAAGCUAUAAUAAGACUGCCAAAUAGUUAAAUGAUUAACCAAAUAGCUAUCCGGAUAAUCUGCAUUGACCCUUUUUACACUAACUCUUUUGACUCAUCACAUGCACUGCUGCUACUGUUUAUUAUUUAUCCUGUUCCCUAGUCACUUUAUCCCUACCUAUAUAUACAUGCAGUAUCUACCUCGUACCCCUGCUCAUCAACUCAGUACUGGUACCCCGUGUAUAUGGCCAAGUUAUCGUUACUCAUUGUGUAUUUAUUCCUUGUGUUAUUAUUUUUCUGUUAUUUCUAUAUUUUUCUCUCUACAUUGUUGGGAAGGGCCUGUUAGUCCACACCUGUUUAUGAAGCAUGUGACAAAUAACAUUUGAUUUGAUUUUGAGGGGAUGGAGAAAGUAAAGAGCAAUCAUAUUUGGCAUGAGUAAGUUUGUCCUAUUGUAAGACCUCAACUCAUGUUGGUUCUGGGGAGAUGAAAUCAUCUUUUUACUUGUGGGUCUAGGUAAACCUAAAUUAAUUCAAUACAUGGACAUGUACUGUACAUGGACUUGUUGCUCUGCUGUUUUUGCUGCAGUUUGAACCUAGAAUAAUGUGAUUAUUUGGGAAGUUCUAAAGAGCACUUCUACACCGGAGUAAGAGGAUGAACUCUGAAGAAGUAUAUUUGUGUUUAUUCAAUCUACAGUAAAAAGGUCAUAAAUGUAUUUUCAUUAAUCAUACCCGCUAUUUCAAUAAUUUACAGAACAGUACGUUAUGUUCAAGGUCAGGGUCUUCUAAGGAAGUCCCUUACUGGGAAGUAAGCGGUAGAUAAGAGUGUGUAAUAAAAAAGAACUGUAAUAAAGAUGUCUAUUGAGACAGAAACAGAAGCCAUGAAUGAAUAUGGCAAAUUAUGAAAAGUGAUUAUUCAAAAUGGUCUUAUCCCACACCCUGUCUUUCUCUGUCUGUCCAUCUCUCUUCCGCUCUCUGUAGUUGGUGCUUUGAGUGAUAAUCAUCUAGGGGUGAGUUGUGGUUGCAGCAGCCUUCAGGAAUCCUUUUUCCAGGAAUGGAAACACCGGAGAACCUUCACCAGAGAACCUAUGGGUGAAGAUGGGGUCAAACAGAAACAGGCUUAAUCAUUCUGGGAAAGAAAGAGCGGUGAGCUGAAGCUGAGCAAACCAGGUCAAGAGAUUAAUCAAAAUACUGUCAUAAUGCACCUUUGCUAUUCUCAAUCAUUCUCAAGAGGCAGAUACAGGGACAGGUAUAAAAUGGGCAGUUAUAAAAGAUCACAUUUUUAUUACAAAAUGGUUUAUCUAAAAACAUGUAAUUGCUCUGUGGCAAAAUCAAUAGAUGAGGCUUAUACUUGAUUUUCACAUUUAAAAAGCAGAACAUUUCAUGGAAACACAAAUAAUGGUCCAUUAAUUUAGCAUAUCUUCUAGGUUCAUUUGGGUUUAUUGUAGCCUCCCAUAGGAGGCUUAUAGUAACUAAUAUGUUCUGGAACGUAUUCAGUCUAAUGACUAAAAACAACAAUUCUAUAUUUAAUCAUAUUCCCUCAAGUCCAAAAUUAUAAACAAACAGAGACAGUGAUUUCUUUUUUUACCAAUACAAGAUUUUAAUGUUCCCUGUUAAACAACUUAACCAAAGUAUAACCACAAAAAAAGAGAAAACAUGCCACACUCUCUCGCAUUGCAUUCUUAUAUUGUUUCAAUUGGCCAAUUCCCCCGACCUUGAGACAUAGAUCAGUGAUCAUCAUAAAAAAGAACAACAAUAUUAAUGGAGUUAAUUUGGCUACUGUCACACAUGAAAACAGAUCAAUGUCAAAUCCAAAUAGCUCUGCAAAAUGGUCGCAAAUAAACCAUGAUAGAAAGAACACUCAUUUACACAUAAGGCAGUGUUGAAGGAUAUGAGGAAGCU
Long non-coding RNA from Oncorhynchus nerka (sockeye salmon), 3144 nucleotides. RefSeq lists it as uncharacterized. The transcript is spliced from 4 exons. The record is from RefSeq and is a predicted model, not a curated record. Lineage: Eukaryota; Metazoa; Chordata; Actinopteri; Salmoniformes; Salmonidae.